GGAAGGGGCAAGAACAGUAUAAACUGACCUUUUAGGGGCCAAGCUGGAAGCAUGACAGGAGAAAAAGAGCAGCACUGAGCUCAGCAUGCAAAUAUAGACAACUUGCAAAGCCGCACGCAGCUCCGGCUCCAGCGCUGCCCUCUGCCCAGGCCCCGCAAGGCGGCUCUCACUUCCCUUCCACCCCGGGGACUUUCCUCCCACGGAUUCUCAGCCAGACCGAGAGGAGGAAGGAAGAAGUGGGGAAGCAUCUGUGUUCACCCCCAUCUCCAGCCUGAAGGACUGGGCUCAGCUCCGGCGGGGCCUGGCCCUGGGGAGAGGUCUGGCCCAUUAGCGUGUGGACGGCCUCUGGGAGGGCCCUGGCCUCCCCUCAGUUUGCACCUGGCAGAGACCCCUCCGGAAGCCACAGGGAGACCUUGGCUCUGCGCCCUGUCCCCCAGUGUGCCCUGAGCUGCCCCUUGGAUGGUAACACCCUCUUCAUUUGCCUUUGUAUCUCAUUUGUUCUGGGUAGCAGAGCCAAAACGAUUUCGUUGACGCAUGUUUGAGACUCAAAGAAGCGAAAUGAUUUGUCUGCAUUGGUGGAAGGUCCAGGUCUUCCAGACACAAGCGGUAUACAGAGACCAGGGCUUCUCGCUGCCUCUCCUCCUUCCUCAGGCAGCUUAUGCUUCUGAGCCUCACUGGCAUCCCUGCUGGUAGGAUGGGGACACUGUGCCCAUCUCACAGGGUUCUCCUGAGAUUUAGAAAUUGUCUGUCUCUAGGGACAGGCCCAGAUGGGGGUUUAAAAUGGGAGCUACUGUUAGUCCAGGCCUCCACGGACCUACGCUAAGCAGUAAGCUCCACGAUAUUAAUGUAUUCAAGUUAUUAAAUGGGCACAAGUGGA
Eptesicus fuscus (big brown bat) is the source of this 877-nucleotide long non-coding RNA. RefSeq lists it as uncharacterized. Lineage: Eukaryota; Metazoa; Chordata; Mammalia; Chiroptera; Vespertilionidae. The record is from RefSeq and is a predicted model, not a curated record. The transcript is spliced from 2 exons.